Molecule: ribosomal RNA, 850 nt
Filed under: Clonostachys krabiensis
Lineage: Eukaryota; Fungi; Ascomycota; Sordariomycetes; Hypocreales; Bionectriaceae
Description: partial 28S large subunit ribosomal RNA
Rfam family: Eukaryotic large subunit ribosomal RNA
Source: RNAcentral
GCCCUAGUAACGGCGAGUGAAGCGGCAACAGCUCAAAUUUGAAAUCUGGCGCAAGCCCGAGUUGUAAUUUGUAGAGGAUGUUUCUGGCGACGUGCCUUCCGAGUUCCCUGGAACGGGACGCCAUAGAGGGUGAGAGCCCCGUACGGUUGGAUGCCUAGCCUCUGUGAAACUCCUUCGACGAGUCGAGUAGUUUGGGAAUGCUGCUCUAAAUGGGAGGUAUACGUCUUCUAAAGCUAAAUACCGGCCAGAGACCGAUAGCGCACAAGUAGAGUGAUCGAAAGAUGAAAAGCACUUUGAAAAGAGGGUUAAAAAGUACGUGAAAUUGUUGAAAGGGAAGCGUUCAUGACCAGACUUGGGCAGGUUGAUCAUCCGUGGUUCUCCGCGGUGCACUCUGCCUGCCCAGGCCAGCAUCAGUUCGUCCCGGGGGAUAAAGGCUUUGGGAAUGUGGCUCCUUCGGGAGUGUUAUAGCCCAUUGUGUAAUACCCUGGGGUGGACUGAGGUUCGCGCUCUGCAAGGAUGCUGGCGUAAUGGUCAUCAACGACCCGUCUUGAAACACGGACCAAGGAGUCGUCUUCGUAUGCGAGUGUUCGGGUGUCAAACCCCUACGCGUAAUGAAAGUGAACGUAGGAGAGAGCUUCGGCGCAUCUCCGACCGAUCCUGAUGUUCUCGGAUGGAUUUGAGUAAGAGCAUACGGGGCCGGACCCGAAAGAAGGUGAACUAUGCCUGUAUAGGGUGAAGCCAGAGGAAACUCUGGUGGAGGCUCGCAGCGGUUCUGACGUGCAAAUCGAUCGUCAAAUAUGGGCAUGGGGGCGAAAGACUAAUCGAACCUUCUAGUAGCUGGUUUCCGCCG